AUGCAAAGUGUUGAAGGAGAUCCGCACAAUAGCCCUGUUUACCUCAUACAAACACAGCCAUGUUGUCACAAGGUGUGUGUGUAUCCAGAGAUCAGAGGCCCGGAUGGGAUGGUGUGGACAGGACAGACACGUGGAACAUUUAAACCAAACCAGAGACUGAUGACCAAAGAUUGUGAGUGUGUGUGUGUGAGGGGGACUUCUUAUUUUCAGAUGCUCUGACAUUCAGUAUGUAGGAGUGUAUUUUUGUAUAUGAGACAGUGAUGACCUGAAGACAGGAUGGAAACCCAAUCUCAAACAAGAACUGUCUUCUGCCCACAUGUACACUCAUGUGAUCGCCUCAAUAUUGUGUGGAUGUCAUUACCCGUCCAUCACAACAGUUCAUAGCAAGGGCACACCAACAGCCUUUGACCUUCAACCACAUAUACACUCACGCGUCAUUGCGUCUUGUGCUGAACUUUAGCAGGGCUUGUGCUGGAGCACCUGAACUCACAACUAUCCAAACGCGCUAUGUUUUUAGCGCAACCAAUCAAAAACCAGUUUGCUGUUGAGAAGUAAUCAGAGACUCAAAGUUACAUUGGCACUUCACUGUCAGCUCAAAAACCAAACACCAAAGGUCAAGAGUUUUUCCCCUCCCUCCAUCCUCCCCAAAGAGCGUUCCCAAAGAGGUCCUGGAAGUGUUAAAGACUUGGUCCAGAUAACAGCUGUAGCUUCUCUUAUUUAAUACGAUGUUUGUGUUCCUUCAAUCUCUUUCUCUUACAUAUUAAAUGGCAUACAAAGCAACUGCUUCGAUUUCAUUUGAUACAACCAUUCUCUUUUUUUGUCUUUUUCAUGGGUCACUUGUAGACAUUCAUUGGUUUCUCUCCCUCGCAGCCUGUCUUGCUCUAUAUUUGUCAAAUUGCAAAUACUCAGAAACUUUGAAUGAACAGUAAAGUAUUGAGGCUACCAUCUGAGAUAAAAUUGCAAUCUCAAAGAUGUCACUGAGACUUUUACGAACACACACACACACACACACACACACACACACACACACACACACACACACACACACACACACACACACAAACACACACACUCACUCACUCACACAAAUCAAACCAGUUGAAAAUCUUUAAAUAAAAAGACCAUGAGUAUUAAAUAUUAGCAUGACCUUUACAGAUGAUUGAAACAUUCACUGUAAAGAAACAAUCAGUUAGUCAACCAAUCACAUUUAUUAAGUGUAAUGGAAAGGUUAAGCUCAAUCGAAUAUUUCCUGACAAUAUCCGGCUAAAUGUUUAGUACAAAAUUAGAG
This 1288-nucleotide long non-coding RNA is filed under the name Carassius auratus (goldfish). RNAcentral's name for it is "lncRNA (ENSCARG00000002698.1)". The record is from RNAcentral. Lineage: Eukaryota; Metazoa; Chordata; Actinopteri; Cypriniformes; Cyprinidae.